Numida meleagris (helmeted guineafowl) is the source of this 2795-nucleotide long non-coding RNA. RefSeq lists it as uncharacterized. NCBI's taxonomy places the organism in Eukaryota, Metazoa, Chordata, Aves, Galliformes, Numididae. The record is from RefSeq and is a predicted model, not a curated record. The transcript is spliced from 5 exons.
CCCUAAGGAUCAAAGAGGAAGAGGACUUCAAUCCAGAUAAAAUAAGAUUCUUAAACACUGAAAACUGUACUCAUAUUUAUGGGCCAGAUCUAAUGUUUGAACUCCCGUGCCAAAAGCUGUGCAUUCCACAUGUGCAGCAUGGGGUGUUGCCUGACUGGCUGCUUCCAGGGUUGGAGCGUUGAGCACCCACCCAAAGUUACCCUGCAAUCUAUUCCAGUAAAUAAACUUGGAGUUUUGUUCUCAGAAUGUGUUUGCCAAAUGUUAUUUCCAUAUUUACUUUGCCUUUUAGCCUUAAAUCCUAAAAAAAAAAAAAAUCUCUGGUAGUAUUUUUAUCCUCUAUCUUAUUUCACACCUCUUAAUAAUCUGAAUUCUUACCAAGCGAGCACAACAACAUCUGAAGAUGAAAUCUAUCUCUUUGAUGGUAUGAAACCAUGACCCAACAGGCCCACUCUUCGCCUGGAGGGCUCGUAGGAGAUUCAUGUUAGAUUAUUAAAUCCUUUAGAAACUCAGGUAUAUUUAUUCAAAAUGCAAGGUAUCUAGCAGACAUCACAAUUUUUUCCUCUUUUGAGUUCAAAAGUAAUUUACAAUUAAAAAUAUUUGCUAUUUUGCUCUAUUCCAAAAUAGUUUCAGUUUUCAUUUUGUUCCUUCUGUCUUUCCAAAAAGCUCAUUUGCUUCAAUCCUACAGAAUAUUUAAAUGAGACUUUUCAGCCGUGUCUCACAGAAACCAGCAGGGCAUGCUGGUGCACAAAACUGCUCUUUACCACCAACUAAAAAUAAACAUGCUCCUUUGUCUUCCUUUGGGAGCUGCCUGUGUAAGAUCUUGUUGGCCAGUUCACUUUCUGUGGAGACUUCUACCGCUUACUUACACGUCAAGUUCUCAAAGGCUUCUAUGACAGAUAAAGUGUUCUUAUGCUUUAAAAAAAAAAAAUGUGAAAGAAGUGAAAACUUGCUACCACAUCAGUAUUGUCUUAACUCUUAAACAGGGUAGGAUAUAUAGGGCUGCCUAAAGCUUUAAUUGUUAAUCUUAUUUGUUAUCAUUUUCAGCAAGUUUUAUUUUGAGCAUGUCAUUUUCUUCAGAGUAACGGUUUGCAUUUGGCUGUGGUUUCAUUCACCCCUUCCAGUUAUACCUGAAAUGUCAUCUGAAUACCACCAUGACGUGGGAAAGAAGUCAGUUUACUGCUCUGCUCCUGAACUGGUUUUCUCCUUCCAUCCAAAGCCACAUUUUAAAGAACUUCCUUGUAUGUUCUUGAGUUGUUUGCUGGCAAUUUAAAAUUCACAUGACCAAGUUAAGCAAUCUUUUGUUCCUGCCCCCCCCACUUCUGUCCCUAGUAAAGGCACCAUGCCAUUAGGAUUGCUCAUUAUAACUAUUCAGGCACCUUUGGUGCCGUCCUUUCUUUCCCCCUUCAUUCUUUUGCUCAUACAUUUGUCACUGCUCUUACUCUACUCCUGCUCCUCCUUCCUCCAUGGCAGUAAGAGAAGACCUCUUCCCCUUACCUGGGCUCCUCUUGCCUGCCCUGCUUUCUUUGCUGCCUCUCUUCCAGCUCUUACAGCCCAGAAAAAAAGAAGCUGCUAAGAUAUCUCCUAUGGCUUUUGACAAAAAUAUAUGAGCACUUUCUAUUAACUCCAUGUACAGAUUUUCUUCUGCUUCACUAGAGUAGAAGGAGGAAUUCCUUCAGAGGCACAGUAUCUUACUGUAAAACUAAGUUUGGUUUGAGGCAUGAUCUCCUGUGGAAGUGUCUUCCUGUCUCUUGGCAAUAAUGAUUAUACAGAAAACAGCAGCUGAGAGUUUGAAGCAGAAGCAACACCUGCUGGCGAAACCAAAGUCUGGGAAUCUGCUGAGCUGUCCUCCUGGAAAAGCAGUUUAAGAUAAUGUAAACUUUGCAAUGCAGGGACAUGGACAAAACUUUAGACCAAACACGAGCAGCAGCUCUUCAACUUCACAGCAUUCCCUCAUUAAAGGUAAUGUAGCUACACAAAAAGACUUUCAGUUUAAAGAGUUGCCAGCUUUCAUAAGAACUCUGAAAAAAGAGCCAAAGCAGCAGAGUGGUUUUUCUCCCCAUGAAAAUGGAUUUGAAUAAUGUCUAAGGCUCCAGUGUGUGUUGUCUUGAGAUCAUGAGCAUAUAAUGCACAAGAAGUCAUCCCUACCUGGAGCAGAAAUGCUGACAACGGGUAAACCAUUUGGAGAGUAAGCAGUAUAUGGAAGAAACAUGAAUGCACUCUUCUGCAGUGUCUAUUUCUGCAUACUGUGGUUAGAUUUCUGGGAUGAGUAAUGAUGGGAUCCUCAAUUUCAAAGUGUUUUUAUAAGAUUAAAAAAUAUAUAUUAUAAGGGAUGUUAUUUUAUUCCUGAAAUGUAACACAUACUUUAUAAAAGUGCUUGUUGCACCCUAGGCAUUGUUUAAUGAGGUGAUGGAUAACUGAAGCUGUUACUUCUGUUUUUCAGCCUUUCUUGGUUAAUACACGUUGCUUAAUGUAUUAAUGAGUGUCACAUGGUGUUCUCUGUUUUUAAGAGUUGUUUCCAAGUGUAAUGGAGGUAAUAUGGCCCCAAGUACUCUACUUUCCUGGUUCUGGAUCCCAGCAUGCAGCAAGCGCUUACUCGAAUAUGGCAGUUCGAGUACAUUGUCAGCUUUGCUGCCCACCAGCUCGGGUCUUUCCCAACACCUUUGUGUCACAUUGAGUCUCCUAAAUGAAACAAAGGAGGGUAAAAGUCUCUCCCUAGUGUGAGGCUAGAGUUUGUGUGGCCAUCUGGUAUGUUUGAAGAAAUAAAUGAAUGAACAUGAAAUAAAUGAAAUGAACAU